GGGCUCGUGUGGCAACCUGGAUAGCCGGCGAGGCUUCGGACCUCGAGACGCGGGUUCAAAUGGCCCUUUUCCGCCCAAUCGCAUUGAAAAUCCCGCCGAGCCCG
This 104-nucleotide transfer RNA is filed under the name Candidatus Burarchaeum sp. Its description in RNAcentral is "tRNA-Arg". The record is from RNAcentral. Lineage: Archaea; Nanobdellati; Microcaldota; Candidatus Micrarchaeia; Candidatus Burarchaeales; Candidatus Burarchaeaceae.